AGAGUUUGAUCCUGGCUCAGGAUGNACGCUAGCUACAGGCUUAACACAUGCAAGUCGAGGGGAAACGACACGGUAGCUUGCUACUGUGGGCGUCGACCGGCGCACGGGUGAGUAACGCGUAUCCAACCUGCCCCGAGGUAAGGAAUAAUCCGUAGAAAUGCGGUCUAAUACCUUAUGUGUUCCGAAGAGGACAUCUGAUUUGGAAUAAAGAUUUAUCGCCUUAGGAUGGGGAUGCGUCUGAUUAGAUUGUUGGCGGGGUAACGGCCCACCAAGUCAUCGAUCAGUAGGGGUUCUGAGAGGAAAGUCCCCCACAUUGGAACUGAGCCAGGAUCAAACUCU
RNAcentral lists this ribosomal RNA (339 nucleotides) under uncultured bacterium. RNAcentral's name for it is "bacterial SSU rRNA". It matches the Rfam family "Bacterial small subunit ribosomal RNA", at positions 8 to 339 of the family's 1533-position model. The record is from RNAcentral.